Molecule: ribosomal RNA, 492 nt
Filed under: uncultured bacterium
Lineage: Bacteria
Description: partial 16S ribosomal RNA
Rfam family: Bacterial small subunit ribosomal RNA
Source: RNAcentral
AGUGAACGCUGGCGGUAGGCCUAACACAUGCAAGUCGAACGGCAGCACAGUAAGAGCUUGCUCUUACGGGUGGCGAGUGGCGGACGGGUGGGGAAUACAUCGGAAUCUACUUUUUCGUGGGGGAUAACGUAGGGAAACUUACGCUAAUACCGCAUACGACCUACGGGUGAAGGCAGGGGAUCUUCGGACCUUGCGCGAUUGAAUGAGCCGAUGUCGGAUUAGCUAGUUGGCGGGGGAAAGGCCCACCAAGGCGACGAUCCGUAGCUGGUCUGAGAGGAUGAUCAGCCACACUGGAACUGAGACACGGUCCAGACUCCUACGGGAGGCAGCAGUGGGGAAUAUUGGACAAUGGGCGCAAGCCUGAUCCAGCCAUACCGCGUGGGUGAAGAAGGCCUUCGGGUUGUAAAGCCCUUUUGUUGGGAAAGAAAAGCAGCAGGUUAAUACCCCGCUGUUCUGACGGUACCCAAAGAAUAAGCACCGGCUAACUUCGUG